Small nuclear RNA from Sorex fumeus (smoky shrew), 102 nucleotides. Lineage: Eukaryota; Metazoa; Chordata; Mammalia; Eulipotyphla; Soricidae. The record is from RefSeq and is a predicted model, not a curated record.
GUGCUCACUUUGGUCGCACAUAUACUAGAUUUGGAGCAAUAGAGAUUAGCAUGGCCCCUGUGUGAGAUUGGCAUGCAUAUCUGUGAAGUGUUGCAAGUUUAA